Rosa chinensis is the source of this 2271-nucleotide RNA transcript. RefSeq lists it as uncharacterized. The transcript is spliced from 3 exons. Lineage: Eukaryota; Viridiplantae; Streptophyta; Magnoliopsida; Rosales; Rosaceae. The record is from RefSeq and is a predicted model, not a curated record.
CUUUUCUCACAGCUGCUUUACUUCAAUUUCCACUGUCACAAAGAAACAAAAACCGAUGAACACGAGCUUGUUUCGUCAUUUUUGCAAGUCGAAGCAGGGAUGGAUUUGGAGACAGCAAUCAAUUUGGCGAUGGAAUUGAAGAUGGGCCGCAACUAUAUUCUUAUCCAGAAAGGAUUUCAGAGCCUGCAAUUGAGAUUUCUGCACACAAAUUGGGUGAGGAUUUCAUCCUUCAUUUCACUCCUUUGUUUGAUCUGUGUACAACAAAACUAAAAUUUUCUUCUGGGUUCUUCCCAUCGGCGACUCGGGGAAUUGAAUUGUUGUUUUCUGGUGUUGAAAUUUAAUCGCGGUGAGUUCAAACAAGGCAAAAGUGCGUUGUUUGCAUUGAAAGCAAGGCUCCUGUCUUUGACUCCAGGUGCUAUAAGGAAGACACACAUAGACUAUUGCUGACAUUGAGAGUAGGUUUUGCUAUCAGAAUACUCACUUUCCUCUCUUUCUUUUUGUUUUGUGCUUUUGUCAAUUUCUGCAAUUGUCUUACUUACAUUGAUUUCAAUUAAUUGAAACCUGCAUGCUCAAACUGGAGCCACCGCCAAGCUUUCUUUGACUCUUCAAUCUUGAUUAUAAAACCAAUACCAGACUAUUCUUGUUUUUUUUCUAUGACGGCACUUCAUCACUUGGUUGUCUCAUAUCAUUGUUAAUUAAGCUUUUUGAAUUGUGCAUAGCUUAAUUAAACUUCCCCACAUGGCCUGCAAUAUUACCAGAACACACCUUUUUUUUUUAUAUAUUGCUUUGUGCUUUUGUGAAGUUCUAGAAUUGCUUUGUUGACAAUGACCAACACGGGCACCUUGUUAAUUAAGCUCUUUUGUCUUAUGCAUAGCUUAAUUAAUAUAAUCUCUUAGUCUGCAACACCACCAUAACAUUCAUUCCUCUUCUUCUUUCUUUAUAUAUAUAUUGCUUUGUGCUUCUGUCAAUCUCUGGAGUGGUUUUGAUGAUGUUGGCCCAUUUAGAUCAAGGUUUCAUGCUAGACACAAAGAUGCCACCGCCGAAGACUUCUUUAGUUUUCAUGUCGGCACCGCUUCAAUUACUUGCAUCAAAACACGCUGCAGCCUUUUGGAAUAAGUUGAGAGUGGCUUUAACGUAUCCCCUGCACUUUUAACACAUCUUUGACAAAUAGAGUGCCAAUUUGUCCUGUUCACUUUGCCUCAUCAUUUUCUUUCAACUUACAAAGCUCCAGCACACCAAGUAACCAAGCCUUAGUUGUUUUGGCUUGUGCAUGACCGGAUUAUAUGCUUUGCUUUUGCCGAUUACGUGGCUCUCCAAGAGGUGAGUUUUGUCAUCUUUCAUCAUCUUUACUAAUGUAGAACAAACUAGAUCACACAUUCCUUUUCUUUUCCAUUUGCUAUGAACUGCAUGCUUGUAGCUCUUUGGUCAUUUGUUUUCCCCUUUAUUUUGGAAGAAAGACUCAGUGAGCUUGCUUUGAGUCUCAGAGCUUGUGGCCUUUAGCCAGAAGUUUAACAUCCGCUUGGCUUUGUUUUGUUUGUUUUCUUUUAGAGCAGGUUCGGUAAAGCAUGUCACUCCGAUAUGGCUUCAGAGACGGAGCUCCGGCAAGGCUUGUGGAGACAGAGCUCCGACAUAUUCAUCGGGACGCUGCCCGGCAUGGUCAUCGGGUCGCUGCCCGGCAUGGUCAUCUGGUCGCUGCCCGGCAUGGUCAUCUGGUCGCUGCCCGGCAUGGUAUUUUUGUUCUUUUGUUUUUACUUUGGUAUGGCAUCGUUGAGAGGCCUGUGAACAUCCGAAGAGGUGGUGGAGCCUGUGAACAUUCAAAGAGAAGGUGGAGCAUGGAAGGGAGGAGAUCUCAACCUUUGUGGUGUCUUGAAUAUCUCCUCUGAACUUUGUCUUCUAAGUUGCUUUCUUGCCUUCGCUGCUUCCUCCCUCUGCAAUUCCACGCUGCUGUGCUCCUGACGUUUUUGUCCUCCGUUCCCUCCUCACGUUGCGGCCCCCCUUUUCUUCUUUUCAUGUAGUGCUUUUAUAUUGCACCGAUCAUGAGUUUGAUUUGUAUAAGACAUGGAGUUUUAGAGUUCAACUCGGAGUGAACUAGCUGGACAUUUUAUCUCCUUUUUCUUUUGGCGUGAAGACUGCAGCUUCUUUUUCAAUUGCUUGUCUAGACUUUGAAACAAGCUAGAAGUCAGCAGCUUAAUUGUUUCUUUUGUUUAAAGCUUCACUAGCUGUCAAACUCGUCCGCUAUUUUUCUUGAGAUAAAAGGCUUUUAAUAUUACA